RNAcentral lists this transfer RNA (72 nucleotides) under Fasciola gigantica. It matches the Rfam family "tRNA". Rfam says of the family: Transfer RNA (tRNA) molecules are approximately 80 nucleotides in length. Their secondary structure includes four short double-helical elements and three loops (D, anti-codon, and T loops). The record is from Rfam by way of RNAcentral. Lineage: Eukaryota; Metazoa; Platyhelminthes; Trematoda; Plagiorchiida; Fasciolidae.
ACCGCGAUAGCUCAGCUGGUAGACAUCUGCCGGUAAUGCGGAGGGUCGCCGGUUCGAUUCCGGCUCGCGGCG